Molecule: long non-coding RNA, 1787 nt
Filed under: Homo sapiens (human)
Lineage: Eukaryota; Metazoa; Chordata; Mammalia; Primates; Hominidae
Description: HSALNT0326300
Source: RNAcentral
GUACAAGUGCUGUGACAGAAAAACCGCCGGCUCCGCGCAGCGGCAAAAGAGCCAACGGGAACGCCGGGUGCUGCGACCAUGACCCCGGCACUGGAGGACGUGGGAUGGAGAAUGGGACACACGGAGCGAGAAGGGAAACGUUUCGUGCAGACCAACUAGCGCCGCCGCCACCGGAAAACUGACUCGCCAGUGCUGCCAAUGAAGUGCGUGUGAGAAACCGAUGACUGGUGGGAGGAGCAGCGCUGGGCGCUGGACCCGCGAGUGUGAGAAUCUGGCGGCGCUAGGACCCUUCAGGCGCGGGCACGAGGCGAAACCCAGCGCUGUUGCCAAAGACAAAUGCGCGUUCUUUUGGGCGCCAUCAGCGGUGCAGCCAGUGAUCACUCCCAGGCUCUGAGAAACUAGAGAUGUCAGCCACAAACCCUCCGUUCAGGGAAAGUUUGCGGCGCCGUGACGGAUCGACUGGCACUGGGUGCAACAUUGUCUUGUGGCCUAGAGACUAGAAUAUAAAAACAAAAACCAAAUACAAAACUGCUGCUGGCAUUACUCCUACUCUCCCCCCUCAAGUCAGUGGCUUCAGGCUUAAGAAAACCUGUAUUUUUCUUGGCUGUGCCAUAAUCCGUAAUUACCGAGGCCCCCAGCGACCCACCCAGUGUGAUUCGCAGAGGGAAAGGAGCUGGAAUAAGGACCGUGAAUGGGGCGGAUGUGGCUCGUCCUGGGAGAGAGCUAAAGCUUAUGCUGGUCGCAAACAGCAUUACAUUGCAGGAAACUGCUCUUCCAAUGGCCGUGGCUGGGUCCUUCCACACCAUCCCUCUGCCCUAGACCUUUGUCCCCGUUCAGAGCCAUCAGAGAUUCUAGGAGAGCUGUCGACAACCGCAUCUCUUCGGAACUUGGAAACUCUAGGUUCAAGAUCUCCGUGGAGAAUGAAAGGCACAGUCGCCUGACCCGGGCAUCAGGCUUGCCCCGCACAUCAAGUCCCUCCCCUACUGGAUGGAACUCUGUGGCAAUCGCUCCUUAUUCUGAUGGUUCACUCUGUCAGAUAUCCUCGAUAUUUGGGGAUAGUAGUUCAAAAACAGCCGGGGAGGAAAAUGGGCUGAAAGAUUCCAGCGUUGGAUGUAGAAUUGACAGCGAGACAUACACCUCCUCUCUAAGCCCAGAGAAAAGCUCAAGUUGUGGUUCUCUGUCUCUAGCAGCAUGAUCUUCAAAAUGCAUCAUUGAUUUCUAUCUUCUGGGAAAUGCAAUGCAGGUGAACUUCUUUUCAUCUUAGCAAAAAAGUUGCAAUCAGCACCCCCUAGACGGAAGGAAUAUCCUGUCUUAAUGGGAGUCCAUAGGAGGCUGCAGGCUGCUCCCCUACAGAGACUAACAUCAAGGAGGAAAUCAGUGGUGCUUCAGGAUAUUGUGAAUUUGGUCUUCUGAAAGCAGAAUUCUGAUUUAACAGUAUAAUGGAAUUCGUGAACGUCAUGAUGCUAAUUUGAACCAACAAGCACCCUUGUGAGAGGAAUCUGCUUUUCCUCAAGUCUGAAGAACACCAGGAGAAUCUUUCUGUAUGGAGUUACCAGGAAUCCUCUGCUAAGGAAAGUGAAAGGGAAGAUGCAAUUUCUCCUGGGAAGGGGGGAUGCUGAUGUAGAGGGUGACAAGUAAUAUGCCAUGAAGGAUUCAGUCACCUGGUUAGAUUUAGAGUUAGAGUUAUGGUUAAGGAAGAAGGAAGGAAAAAAGGCAGAAGAGGAAGAAAGGAAGCAAGAAAAGAUAAAAUUUAUUCUAAGAUAAAAUUUGUGAAUUUUGCUAAACUA